Molecule: transfer RNA, 72 nt
Filed under: Desmophyllum pertusum
Lineage: Eukaryota; Metazoa; Cnidaria; Anthozoa; Scleractinia; Caryophylliidae
Description: Lophelia pertusa tRNA
Rfam family: tRNA
About the family: Transfer RNA (tRNA) molecules are approximately 80 nucleotides in length. Their secondary structure includes four short double-helical elements and three loops (D, anti-codon, and T loops). Further hydrogen bonds mediate the characteristic L-shaped molecular structure. tRNAs have two regions of fundamental functional importance: the anti-codon, which is responsible for specific mRNA codon recognition, and the 3' end, to which the tRNAs corresponding amino acid is attached (by aminoacyl-tRNA synthetases). tRNAs cope with the degeneracy of the genetic code in two manners: having more than one tRNA (with a specific anti-codon) for a particular amino acid; and 'wobble' base-pairing, i.e. permitting non-standard base-pairing at the 3rd anti-codon position.
Source: Rfam by way of RNAcentral
GGUUCCGUGGUGUAACGGUUAGCACUUGAGACUCUGAAUCUCAAAAUCCGAGUUCAAAUCUCGGCGGAACCU